Molecule: microRNA, 21 nt
Filed under: Tribolium castaneum (red flour beetle)
Lineage: Eukaryota; Metazoa; Arthropoda; Insecta; Coleoptera; Tenebrionidae
Description: tca-miR-3854-3p
Source: miRBase by way of RNAcentral
UAGUGGCGUUUAGUAUUGUGG